RNAcentral lists this non-coding RNA (29 nucleotides) under Mus musculus (house mouse). The record is from RNAcentral. Lineage: Eukaryota; Metazoa; Chordata; Mammalia; Rodentia; Muridae.
GGGAAAAGAUGAUGCGCUCUCAGAUGAAA